AAUGAACGCUGGCGGCGUGCUUAACACAUGCAAGUCGAACGGUAACAGGAAGAAGCUUGCUUCUUUGCUGACGAGUGGCGCACGGGUGAGUAAUGCAUAGGUAACGUGCCCCUUGGACCGGGAUAGCCACUGGAAACGGUGAUUAAUACCGGAUACUCCUAUUGAUUGAUUUUCAGUAGUGAAAUGUUUUUUCGCCAAGGGAUCGGCCUAUGUCCUAUCAGCUUGUUGGUGAGGUAAGAGCUCACCAAGGCGAUGACGGGUAGCUGGUUUGAGAGGAUGAUCAGCCACACUGGUACUGAGACACGGACCAGACUCCUACGGGAGGCAGCAGUGAGGAAUAUUGCACAAUGGGGGAAACCCUGAUGUAGCAACGCCGCGUGGAGGAUGACGCAUUUCGGUGUGUAAACUCCUUUUAUCAGAGAAGAACAUGACGGUAUCUGAUGAAUAAGCUCCGGCUAACUCCGU
This 465-nucleotide ribosomal RNA is filed under the name uncultured Campylobacterota bacterium. Its description in RNAcentral is "bacterial SSU rRNA". It matches the Rfam family "Bacterial small subunit ribosomal RNA", at positions 29 to 506 of the family's 1533-position model. Lineage: Bacteria; Pseudomonadati; Campylobacterota. The record is from RNAcentral.